RNAcentral lists this small RNA (251 nucleotides) under Phascolarctos cinereus (koala). RNAcentral describes it as "7SK RNA (ENSPCIG00000014563.2)". Lineage: Eukaryota; Metazoa; Chordata; Mammalia; Diprotodontia; Phascolarctidae. The record is from RNAcentral.
GAAUGUGAGUGCAAUAUUAUCGCCAUUAUCUUUCAUGCCAUUGAUCACAAGGGCUGAUUUGAUUUAUUUGGCUAUAUAGGUCCAUGUUCCCUUACACUCUCUACUUCAUAGGCAUACCUUCUAAAGGUUGAAGAGAGAUGAGGAUCUUUGGUAAAAGAUAUAUGAAUAGUUGGACUCUCCAAGUGCUCAGAAGGGAGGGAGGACAAAAGAGAAACUCUUGCCCAAGGGAUGAGGGGGACGGGAUCCACCAU